ACGAGUUAGGGUCUCUCUGGCCCGACCUCCCAACCCUUUGUCUACUUGACCAUCGUUGCUUCGGCGAGCCCGUCCUCACGGACCGCCGGAGGACCCGCCCCUGGGCGUCCUCUGGCCAGCGUCUGCCGAUAGCCACUCUCAAAACUCUUGAAUAAAUCAUGUUAUUGUCUAAGUUAUGAUGCAAAUCAAUUAAAGCA
This 197-nucleotide unclassified non-coding RNA is filed under the name uncultured Cladophialophora. RNAcentral's name for it is "sequence contains ITS1". Lineage: Eukaryota; Fungi; Ascomycota; Eurotiomycetes; Chaetothyriales; Herpotrichiellaceae. The record is from RNAcentral.